GCUACCUUGCCUGUGAUAGAUGCAGCCUUCUAAGUUGCUAUGUUUCUUUCACAGAGCGUGAUAGUAACUCCCUUAAGCAUGUGCAGGUUCAUAUAUUAGACUAACAGUUUUCAUAGAAUAAAUAUAUAAAGACCUUAUCUUUCAGCAUGUUAUUCAGAAAUUGAAUCAACACCAUUACCUUACUAGUAAUAAUUAAAAGAGAAUAUUGUUUUCAUUACAAGUAAGAGAAACAAACUAGCCAGGCAUAGAAAGGGAAUUUAUUAAGGACCUUAUCAUAGGAACUCUGGUUUCAGUUUCAAACCAGGAGAUAGAAUGGUUCAAAUAAGGUCACCAGACUCAGCCUUGUGCUCACUAUCUCUUCACACUGCUUCCCUCUUACUUUAUUUCAACCUUAGGUAGAUGUUCUUUUUAUGAGAGAAAGAUACCUUCUAGAAGCUCCAAGCUCCCAUUUAACUUCUCUGAGUCUCUGGGAGCUUACUCACUGUCUGAUUAGAUAGCUUUGGGACACAUGCUAUUGUGAAAGCACUCGUUACAUUCAGGGUAAGGGAUAUGCUCUUGCCCAGAUUUCUUAAUGUAUUCACCUGUAGUGGACAUUGCUAGUGCCCUGAAAAUAUCCCCUCUGGUCUACCUCACAUGACCUUUUGGCCAGUGCUUGAGUACUGUGUGCUUUGUUGCUAUUGCCUUGCAGCUGCAAUCUUCAGAGGAUUGCCUAUACAGAGAGAGACAGAGACAGAGACAGAGACAGAGACAGAGACAGAGAAACAGAGUGAGAGAGAGAGAGAGAGAGCGAGAGAUCAUGGAAAAGACAGAAUGUAAGUCUUUAUUGGUUAUAGGUCAGCCUAUAGUAACUUACUGAGAUAUAAAAAGACCAGCUGCAUUGCUGGGAGGCAAAGCAAACUCUAAUUUGCAGUUUAUACUUCAGAGCUGUUUCUCUCUGCCAUCUAACAGGGUAGAACUUCAUCCUAAAUCACACGCUUGUUGACUUCCUCCUCUUCUACAUCUUCCUUCUCCCCCUUUCUUGUGGAUUGUUUGGAUAGCACCUCCUAAAGAAAUCAUUUGCAAUCAAAUUCUUGGCUGAGAAUCAGCUUCUGGGAGAAUCUGACCCAGAAAGUAUCCUUGACUGCAGGAAUCCAGACUAAUAUGGAGUCAGAGUUGGAAAAGGAGACUACUCAAGGAGAAUCAACAUGCUAUUACCAGAGGUGAAUCACUUCAAAGAGAAGGGACAGAUUCUCAUGGACCCUACUGCCCUGCAGCCCAGACAGUUUGCUGCCAUUGUUUUCCUGCUACUUACUCUCAAACAGGUAUCCAAAAGGAAAGGAAUUUAACUCUUGACUUUAUCCUCUAUGCUGAAGAAUUCCUGAGAUCAGCGUUAAGAAAGGUAAAAGCCAAAAGUUCAUCAUCUAUAUUUAACAUAUUUUCUUCCUAUACAUUUUAAUAUGUUGAAAAUAAUCUAGUAGAGGAAAAGAGACCAAUGAUGGAAAAAAGAAAGCUGAUUCUAGGAGAGAAGGCCUUGCGUAGGGAGGAAAGGAUGGAAUAUGCAAUACAAAUGGAUGUGUUGAUUAUUUAUAGGACCAGAGACACUUCAUCCAUUUUAACAGCAGACAAAUGGGAAGCGUGGAUGCCUAUGCAGGAGGGCGGGAAAUGUAAUGGAAGAAACAGGGAAGGUUUCACAACUGAUUCUAUCUGUGUUUUCUGUGAGAUAAUGAGACUACAUCAUCGGUUGAAAUCAAGAAAAGAAGAGAGAGUGCCAGAGAUUCCCACUCUAAAGAG
Callithrix jacchus (white-tufted-ear marmoset) is the source of this 1770-nucleotide long non-coding RNA. RefSeq lists it as uncharacterized. NCBI's taxonomy places the organism in Eukaryota, Metazoa, Chordata, Mammalia, Primates, Cebidae. The record is from RefSeq and is a predicted model, not a curated record.